This 484-nucleotide ribosomal RNA is filed under the name uncultured bacterium. RNAcentral's name for it is "partial 16S ribosomal RNA". It matches the Rfam family "Bacterial small subunit ribosomal RNA", at positions 30 to 507 of the family's 1533-position model. The record is from RNAcentral.
AUUGAACGCUGGCGGCAGGCCUAACACAUGCAAGUCGAGCGGAUGAAGGGAGCUUGCUCCUGGAUUCAGCGGCGGACGGGUGAGUAAUGCCUAGGAAUCUGCCUGGUAGUGGGGGAUAACGUCAGGAAACGGGGGCUAAUACCGCAUACGUCCUGAGGGAGAAAGUGGGGGAUCUUCGGACCUCACGCUAUCAGAUGAGCCUAGGUCGGAUUAGCUAGUUGGUGGGGUAAAGGCCUACCAAGGCGACGAUCCGUAACUGGUCUGAGAGGAUGAUCAGCCACACUGGAACUGAGACACGGUCCAGACUCCUACGGGAGGCAGCAGUGGGGAAUAUUGGACAAUGGGCGCAAGCCUGAUCCAGCCAUACCGCGUGGGUGAAGAAGGCCUUCGGGUUGUAAAGCCCUUUUGUUUGGAAAGAAAAGCAGCAGGUUAAUACCCCGCUGUUCUGACGGUACCAAAAGAAUAAGCACCGGCUAACUUCGUG